This 89-nucleotide ribosomal RNA is filed under the name Oceanospirillaceae bacterium. Lineage: Bacteria; Pseudomonadati; Pseudomonadota; Gammaproteobacteria; Oceanospirillales; Oceanospirillaceae. The record is from RNAcentral.
CCUGAAUCCAUUCCGAACUCAGAAGUGAAACGCAGCAUCGCCGAUGGUAGUGUGGGGAGUCCCCAUGUGAGAGUAGGUCAUCGUCAAGC